RNAcentral lists this ribosomal RNA (390 nucleotides) under uncultured bacterium. RNAcentral's name for it is "bacterial SSU rRNA". It matches the Rfam family "Bacterial small subunit ribosomal RNA", at positions 1 to 334 of the family's 1533-position model. The record is from RNAcentral.
CUAGCGACUUCAGAGUUUGAUCCUGGCUCAGGAUAAACGCUGGCGGCGCACAUAAGACAUGCAAGUCGAACGGAAGUCGUUGUAAUGAUAUAGACAUGAACGGAGAACUUGUUCAAAGAGAGUGAAAGUUGACUUACAACAAUGGCUUUAGUGGCGGACUGGUGAGUAACACGUAAGCAACCUGCCUAUCAGAGGGGAACAACAGUUAGAAAUGACUGCUAAUACCGCAUAUGCCUUAGUAACACAUGUUACAAAAGGGAAAGGAGCAAUCCGCUGAUAGAUGGGCUUGCGUCUGAUUAGAUUGUUGGUGGGGUAACGGCCUACCAAGUCGACGAUCAGUAGCCGGACUGAGAGGUUGAACGGCCACAUUGGGACUGAGAUACGGCCCAG